AUGUUUUGUCUGGUGGGAGUCCUACACUUACGUUUUCUUGGUUUGUACUUCAAUCAUAACAGUAAGAACAACUGGCAUAAAAGAAUUCUGGAACAAGCAGAAGUGACCCUUGAAAGGGAAGACCUGAGGCUUUCAACGUGGUGUUCUUUUUUGAGUUUAAGUAACUGGCUGCCAAUGAAAACCUUUCCUGCCGACUGCAGGCAUGUGGACAGAACCCACCAGCCCCCUCGACACUGGUUGUCCUACUACAGGGACAUGGAUGAACCUGGAAACCAUCAUUCUCAGCCUACUGACACAAGAACAGAAAAUCAAACACCACAUGUUCUCACUCAUAGGUGGGUGUUCAACAAUGAGAACACAUGGACACAGGGAGGGGAGCAUCACGCCACACUGGGGUCUGUGUGGGGGAACUAGGGGUGGAGGGACAGUCGUGGGUAGGGAGUUGGGGAGGGAUAAUAUGGGGAGAAAUGCCAGAUAUAGGUGAUGGGGAGGAAGGCAGCAAACGACAUUGCCAUGUAUGUACCUAUGCAACAAUCUUGCAUGUUCUUCACAUGUACCCCAAACCUAAAACGCAAUAAAAUACAUAUUUUUUUUAAUUAGCAUUAUAAUACUAAGGUGCUAAAGACAAAAACAAAAAUUAUUUAUCAUAUUCAAGGCAAAAAUAAUAAUUUAAGUUUCUAAAAAUGUGCAAGUUUUUAUAUAACUGAAAAAGGUGUUCACAAGCCAAUAGAGGUUGGGAAGUGUUUUCUAGAACAUUUAUUGUAUUGCAUGCCAGUUACAAUUCUUUUGCUGGAACAAAUAUAACAUUCUUAAAGCCCUGCAGUAAAACUUGGAAGUUUUUCAACUCAGGCUCCCGUCUCAGCUAGGAUUUGAUUCAGGGAAAACUACAUUCCAGAAACAAGCUGUUCCUAUCUGUGCGAACUGAGCACUGCCGCUAACUGCUUCCAAGGCACUUCUGGUACCUGCUCAGGGCCAUGAGACUUUCUAGAAUCCAGGGCAAAGGGUGAUACAGUUGAGGUUAGCCUCUCCUUAGUAGAAAAGAAAUCAAGCCACUAGGCAAAAGAAAAAAAAAAAAAGGCUCCAAACUCCAAACGGAAUGGGAGAAAUAUGUACUUUAUCCAAAUAAGCCAUCCCAAUAAUACUGCUAUAAACGGAAAAGACUUUGUCGUCAAGAAAUUCCUUUAUUAACAUUUGAAUGAUGCUUUACAGUUUACAAAGUGCUUUCACUCAUAUUACUUCACUUGAUGUUGAGGGGGUGGGAGAGUAGGGGGUGAGGUGCAUUAUGUUUUGUUUCAGAUGGCAUUAAGUGGCUGCCUAGAACUGGGAAACAGAGCUCCUUCCAUGUGCUGUAAGCAUCAUAGAUCCUUCUGUGUUCUCAGAACCACCCCCAAAUACUCUAUCACUGUACUUACCACAAAGUGAUGUAAAUGCCCAUGCUUUUGCUGUCGCUUCUUCCUCCCACUUUACUGUUCCCCCACUCCAGUAGUUUAUGAAAUCUUUAAGUGCAGGAAGCAGGCCAUUUACCUCUGUGUCCCCAUCUUCUGGGUACACGGUAGGCACUUCACAAAUGCGCUUAUCAGAUAGGUGCAGAGGGACACCAACAUAGACAGCUUACCUAGGACAGCAGCAGAAUAAAGAGAGGAAUGAACAUUGUGGCAAUUAUGAUGCAGCUGUAUCAUUCAUUAGAUUAUAUACUCUUUGAGGCACUGCAGUGCUCAUGUCUGAUUUCAGUUUGUGUCACUCAAGAUAUGUCUCUUACACAGUAGUCAAAAACUUAAGAAUGCAUUCCUUUGCUCAUCAAAUAUUUACAACCAUGUGUAAU
Molecule: long non-coding RNA, 1822 nt
Filed under: Callithrix jacchus (white-tufted-ear marmoset)
Lineage: Eukaryota; Metazoa; Chordata; Mammalia; Primates; Cebidae
Description: lncRNA (ENSCJAG00000078436.1)
Source: RNAcentral